UACGGGGGGGGCAAGCGUUGUUCGGAAUUACUGGGCGUAAAGGGUUCGUAGGUGGCCAACUAAGUCAGACGUGAAAUCCCUCGGCUUAACCGGGGAACUGCGUCUGAUACUGGAUGGCUUGAGAUUGGGAGAGGGAUGCGGAAUUCCAGGUGUAGCGGUGAAAUGCGUAGAUAUCUGGAGGAACACCGGUGGCGAAGGCGGCAUCCUGGACCAACACUGACGCUGAGGAGCGAAAGCCAGGGGAGCAAACGGG
This 253-nucleotide ribosomal RNA is filed under the name uncultured bacterium. RNAcentral describes it as "partial 16S ribosomal RNA". It matches the Rfam family "Bacterial small subunit ribosomal RNA", at positions 524 to 776 of the family's 1533-position model. The record is from RNAcentral.